GCAGGGGGAUACUGGACUAAACAGCCCCCCCCCCCCUUUUUUUUUUUCUGAGGCGGAGUCUCGGUCUGUCCAGGCUGGAGUGCAUUGGCGCAAUCUCGUCUCACUGCAACCUCUGCCGCCCAGGUUCAAGCGAUUUUCUUGCCUCAGCCUCCCAAGUAGCUGGUAUUACAAGCGCCUGCCACUGUGCCUGGCUAAUUUUUGUAUUUUUAGUAGAGACGGGGUUUCAUCAUCUUGGCCAGGCUGGUCUUGAACUCCUGAAGUGGUGAUCCACCUCGGCCUCCUAAAGUGCUGGGAUUACAGGUGUGAGCCACCAUGCCUGGCCUCUCUCUUUUUUUUUUUUAAACUAAGUUUAUAUUAUGAAUAUACGAAUGUUUAUCAAAAUGCUUACCAUGUGCCAAGCCCUGGGGAUGUUUUGUAUACUAGAAAAAGAAAAGAAUAAUGUGUUACUUGCUUCCUUGAGAUCCUAAUAUUUAAAAGUACUAGCCAGAAUUGUAAAUGAUAAUUAAAUUGGUUGAUUGCACCUUCAGUAGUACAUUAGUAUUGUUAUAAUAUUGUGACUUUUUUCAACUGCAGUGAGAGUAGCAUGUUUGUCUCCAAGAGACGUUUCAUUUUGAAGACAUGUGGUACCACCCUCUUGCUGAAAGCACUGGUUCCCCUGUUGAAGCUUGCUAGGGAUUACAGUGGGUUUGACUCAAUUCAAGUAAGUAAGCAAACAUUUAAAUAUUUUUUCAGGCAUAAAUGUUAGCGUUCUUAUCCUGUAAUAUGCGAAGUAAAUAAAUUUAUAUACUUACUGCCUUUGUUACAAUGCAUGCAAACACGUGGUAAGGUGUUCAUACCUUAGGAAGAGAUCUGAUUCUCAAGAACAGCAGAAAAUAUGAAGGAAGCAGAGAAUGAGUUAGGAUGAAAUUCAAAUGGGAGAAAGAAAUGAAGAAGCCAGACACUUCCAGUAGUUAAUUUCUUAACAUGGCUACUUAUAAUAAUAGAGAAAUGGUAAGAAAAGAAGGAAAAGCAAGAAAAAUGUCAUUACUGAAAUUGUCCAGUCUUUAUAAUGAAGAGUUAGGAUGAAGAGCAACAGUCAGUAUUGAGUUAAAUUCUUAUACUUUUCAAGAACUAAGGUGUUUUUACCUAGGGUAUAAUUUUCUGAUUAGCAGUUGUUACAUUUUAUUUAUUUUUUUAUUUUUUAUUUUUUCGAGAUGGAGUUUCGCUCUUGUUUCCCAGGCUGGAAUGCAAUAGCACGAUCUCAGCUCACUGCAAUCUGCACCUCCCAGGUUCAAGUGAUUCUCCUGCCUCAGCCUCCCAAGUAGCUGGGAUCACAGGUGCCCACCACCACGCCUGGCUAAUUUUUUUUGUAUUUUUAGUAGAGACGGUGUUUCACCAUGUUGGCCAGGCUGGUCUCUUAACUCCUGACCUCAGGUGAUCCACCCGCCUCAGUCUCCUAAAGUGCUGGGAUUGCAGGCGUGAGCCACUGCACCCGGCCUGAAUUUUAGUCUUUAACUUCAUAAGGAAAGGAUGGAUUGUCAUUAGUACUCAAUACAGUUUUUGUUGUUAUGAAUUGAUCCUUGUAAGAAAUCUAAAGCAAUGUGUGCUUAACCGAUGCUUAAAACUAAUAUGUUAUUCCCCCCAAAUUUUUGCUUAUAUGACUAUUAAUAAGCUCAGUUUAGAAACUACUGUUCUAGAAAGGAAUAUACUUGGUGUUAAUAGUUGUUAUGACCCAUCAUCACUAGACUGGGCUUUUUAAAAAAAAGAGAGAGAGAGAGAGAUGGGGCCUCAGUAUGCUGCCCAGGCUGGACUCCUGGGCCAAGUGAUCCUCCUGCCUCCUAAUAGCGAGACUACAGGCAUAUGCUACCAUGCCAAGCUAAAAUAUUUGAGUUUUGAUUUUGCCGAGUUUUGAUAUGUGGAGAAUAGUUGAUUAGCUUCGAAAAGUGAUAGAAUUCUACAUCUAAAAGUCAUCUUUUUUUUUCUUUCUUUUCUUUUUUAAUAAAGAGCUUCUUUUAUUCUCGUAAGAAUUUCAUGAAGCCUUCUCACCAAGGGUACCCACACCGGAAUUUCCAGGAAGAAAUAGAGUUUCUUAAUGCAAUUUUCCCAAAUGGAGCAGCAUAUUGUAUGGGACGUAUGAAUUCUGACUGUUGGUACUUAUAUACUCUGGAUUUCCCAGAGAGUCGGGUAAUCAGUCAGCCAGAUCAAACCUUGGAAAUUCUGAUGAGUGAGCUUGACCCAGCAGUUAUGGACCAGUUCUACAUGAAAGAUGGUGUUACUGCAAAGGAUGUCACUCGUGAGAGUGGAAUUCGUGACCUGAUACCAGGUUCUGUCAUUGAUGCCACAAUGUUCAAUCCUUGUGGGUAUUCGAUGAAUGGAAUGAAAUCGGAUGGAACUUAUUGGACUAUUCACAUCACUCCAGAACCAGAAUUUUCUUAUGUUAGCUUUGAAACAAACUUAAGUCAGACCUCCUAUGAUGACCUGAUCAGGAAAGUUGUAGAAGUCUUCAAGCCAGGAAAAUUUGUGACCACCUUGUUUGUUAAUCAGAGUUCUAAAUGUCGCACAGUGCUUGCUUCGCCCCAGAAGAUUGAAGGUUUUAAGCGUCUUGAUUGCCAGAGUGCUAUGUUCAAUGAUUACAAUUUUGUUUUUACCAGUUUUGCUAAGAAGCAGCAACAACAGCAGAGUUGAUUAAGAAAAAUGAAGAAAAAACGCAAAAAGAGAACACAUGUAGAAGGUGGUGGAUGCUUUCUAGAUGUCGAUGCUGGGGGCAGUGCUUUCCAUAACCACCACUGUGUAGUUGCAGAAAGCCCUAGAUGUAAUGAUAGUGUAAUCAUUUUGAAUUGUAUGCAUUAUUAUAUCAAGGAGUUAGAUAUCUUGCAUGAAUGCUCUCUUCUGUGUUUAGGUAUUCUCUGCCACUCUUGCUGUGAAAUUGAAGUGCAUGUAGGAAAAACCUUUUACUAUAUGAAACUUUACAACACUUGUGAAAGCAACUCAAUUUGGUUUAUGCACAGUGUAAUAUUUCUCCAAGUAUCAUCCAAAAUUCCCCACAGACAAGGCUUUCGUCCUCAUUAGGUGUUGGCCUCAGCCUAACCCUCUAGGACUGUUCUAUUAAAUUGCUGCCAGAAUUUUACAUCCAGUUACCUCCACUUUCUAGAACAUAUUCUUUACUAAUGUUAUUGAAACCAAUUUCUACUUCAUACUGAUGUUUUUGGAAACAGCAAUUAAAGUUUUUCUUCCAUGAGUUGAGUCCUUAAGAAAAUGAUUCCAGUUACUCAUUUUGCAUAUUUGCUAUUUUAACAUUAUUGGACCCUGCAUUUAUAGUCCUUUGAUUUCUUCCCUCUCCCUGGUGUCUCCCCCAAGACCCCAAAUAAAGCAAUACACUGUUAACACUGUGGGUUUAUAUACUAAUUCUAUACCCCAGAUGGGGAAUGGGGGAGAUGGUCCCUGGGCUUAAUAUUCUUUAAAGGGCAUGGGAAUUUAGCCUCUCUUUUAUUGUAAUGUGCUCUUUUGGAAAAUAGUUGGUUAGCAGGGAAGACCCAGAGUUGUAGAUUGAGAUUAGGGUGUACUGGCUGAACUGUGGAAAACAUACAAUUCUGUGUUCCUCAGUAAAUGAGAUUAGCGUCUAAUGAGUAGCACCCCUUUACUAACUUAGUAGUAGUAUAAAAUCAUUUUUAUUUAGUUAAUUACCAGAGAGAUUUAGCAUAAUUUUGUUCUGGAUUCAGUAAAUCAAGUCAGCUUGGAUCAUUCACCUUAACUUUUCCUUUAGCAGCCAUUUCCACUAGUUUCCAUUAAGUAGUGUUCUAUAAACUUCGAUCCAAAGCAGAAUCAAUGUCUUUUCCAUCUGGUGACUUAAAGUUCUGUGACUGUGAUGCAUGUGAGUGUUCCGACUUCAUCUGUUCCUCUUAACUACGGUGUUUCCCUCACCAUGGCAUUCAUAGGAUGAAAUGAAUGACUGCCCAGAAUGAGAAUUUGUCCAGAUUAUUCAGAUAAACAUCAUAAAGCAGAAUACAUUAUAAAUAAGUAGAAUAUGAAUAAAUAGAAUAAUAAAAUUCCAAAAUACUCAAUGGGAAAUGACUAGUAAUAUAGGCUUUCAAGAGUUGGUACCUUUUAGCUAUAUUUGCAGAUACUCUGGGAUUUUAAGGAACUGAGAAAACAGCAAAGUUGACUAAAUUUUAUAUUUCUUGUCCUCUAAAUAUUUUGAUAAUUUCUGGAUUGAUGCAGUGAUGUUUUUGUUCCUUCCGUAUUUAUAAAUGAAACACCUUUUUUUAGUGUUUCUAAACCUAAAAUCUACUUGGUUUGAAAUCAAGUGGUUGGAACACUGUUUGACUUUUAUUUGAAGCAUGUUGUUGAUUGAAAAUUUCAUUGAGGAAGUUUUCAAUCAGUGUGAUCAGUUUGAUUCUGUAAUGAGCACAGCACCUAAUAUUUUGAGGAGCUCUGUUUUGAGGACCAAUGCUUAAGGUGGACUUUGUUCGUAAACAAUAUCCCAAUAGAUUUGUUGACUUGAGGUCUGGUUUUGUUUUGUUUUUGUUUUGUUUUGUUUUCCAAUAGAAUUAAGAAUUCUAAUGUUGAAAAACUGCACAAAUUUUUAUGGGACAAAGCCUAGAAAAGAGAAAUGUAGUUUGAAUCAUAAUCUAAAUCAUGGUAUGAUAGAAGAGGGAAAGUUUUGGUGCCAUAAUUUCUCCUUUCACUGGUGUUGGACUUAAAUCAGUUGAAAUGUAUUUCUGUACCACAAUUUACGCUUCAAUAAAAGUUUAAUUGUCUAGUGACAUUCAGAA
This 4751-nucleotide small RNA is filed under the name Pan troglodytes (chimpanzee). RNAcentral describes it as "retained intron". The record is from RNAcentral. Lineage: Eukaryota; Metazoa; Chordata; Mammalia; Primates; Hominidae.